AGUGAACGCUGGCGGUAGGCCUAACACAUGCAAGUCGAACGGCAGCACAGUAAGAGCUUGCUCUUACGGGUGGCGAGUGGCGGACGGGUGAGGAAUACAUCGGACUCUACUUUUUCGUGGGGGAUAACGUAGGGAAACUUACGCUAAUACCGCAUACGACCUACGGGUGAAAGCAGGGGAUCUUCGGACCUUGCGCGAUUGAAUGAGCCGAUGUCGGAUUAGCUAGUUGGCGGGGUAAAGGCACACCAAGGCGACGAUCCGUAGCUGGUCUGAGAGGAUGAUCAGCCACACUGGAACUGAGACACGGUCCAGACUCCUACGGGAGGCAGCAGUGGGGAAUAUUGGACAAUGGGCGCAAGCCUGAUCCAGCCAUACCGCGUGGGUGAAGAAGGCCUUCGGGUUGUAAAGCCCUUUUGUUGGGAAAGAAAAGCAGCAGGUUAAUACCCCGCUGUUCUGACGGUACCCAAAGAAUAAGCACCGGCUAACUUCGUG
Molecule: ribosomal RNA, 492 nt
Filed under: uncultured bacterium
Lineage: Bacteria
Description: partial 16S ribosomal RNA
Rfam family: Bacterial small subunit ribosomal RNA
Source: RNAcentral